This is a microRNA precursor of Oryza rufipogon (brownbeard rice), 202 nucleotides long. It matches the Rfam family "MIR812 microRNA precursor family". The record is from Rfam. NCBI's taxonomy places the organism in Eukaryota, Viridiplantae, Streptophyta, Magnoliopsida, Poales, Poaceae.
AAUAAGAUUAGCCAUAAAUUUCUGUGUCCAGUUUUGAUCGUCCGUCUUAUUUAAAUUUUUUUAAAAUUAGUAUUUAUACUAUUAUUAGAUUAUAAAACAUGAAUAGUACGUAUGCAUGACUUAUGUUUUUUAGUUUUUGAAAAAUAUUUUAAAUAAGACGAACGAUUAAAGUUGUCCAUAGAAACUCAUGGUUGCACUUAUU